Molecule: long non-coding RNA, 680 nt
Organism: Salmo salar (Atlantic salmon)
Lineage: Eukaryota; Metazoa; Chordata; Actinopteri; Salmoniformes; Salmonidae
Source: RefSeq, a predicted model, not a curated record
CACGGUGUGUUAUUUGUUUGUGUUUUCUGUAAAUGUGAUACGAGAGAGUGUGAGGGAAGUAUGUUUUGGGAAUAGUACUGUGUGAAUGAGAGUUUUGUGAGUGUAUAAAUAAGUGUUAAUCUUACAUUUGGAUAAAAAGAUAUGUAGCGUUAUCUUGGGGUUCCAUUCAACACUGCCCAUCAUAUAAUAUCACGGUGUGGUAUUAUUAAAUGCUAGAUGUUAUUCUAUAAUUUCUGGAAGACUAGAGAACCGUUGAGAAUUAUUCCCAUAGGGCAGUGUCCGAGAAACGAACGUUUUUGGGUUCCGCUGGGUGUGUAUGGAUGAGGAGUCGUUGGAAAUGGAGUGAUUCAUUAAUAGUUUCCAGUUGUUUUGAAAAUACCAUAAAUCCAGAGAAUGCAAGACUUUGAUGACAAAAUUUACCCACGAAGGACCACCGCACCACCUUCCUUUUCAAAUGAGCACAGCACAACAAGCGGAGAUGUGUAUGUGCACCAUGCAGACUGGCACCCAGAUGACCAAACCGAAAGGAAAUAUGCGGCUGGUCAGGUUCUUCUACCUGGAUGAACACAAGUCCUCAAUCCGCUGGAUGCCCUCCAGGAAGCAUGAUAAGGCUUAAAGACAUGAGCCCUAGGACCAUGCCUCAGGACUACCUGGUAUGAUGACUCCUUGCUGUCCCCAGU